GUGGCAGUGCUUCAGAUUCUGAUGUUCCACGCAGGAAAGGUGAUGUGAAACUGUUUGGUCAGAUACUAAGUCAUGCCCCUUCCGAGCAAAAUUCGAGUUCUGGUUCGAAUGGGGGUGGAGAGGAGAAUCACAUAUCCAGCAGCAAAUCAUGCGACAUCGGAGAAAAUGUUCCGUUAAGGAGUUACGGUUUUUGGGAUGGAAGCAGAAUACAGACGGGUUUGUCUGC
This 226-nucleotide unclassified non-coding RNA is filed under the name Hevea brasiliensis (rubber tree). Lineage: Eukaryota; Viridiplantae; Streptophyta; Magnoliopsida; Malpighiales; Euphorbiaceae. The record is from RNAcentral.